This 231-nucleotide unclassified non-coding RNA is filed under the name uncultured fungus. Its description in RNAcentral is "sequence contains ITS1". The record is from RNAcentral. Lineage: Eukaryota; Fungi.
UAUUGUAUUGCGUUAAACGCUAUAUACAUGCCAUGAGACUUUAUUACAGUGUGUGUGUAAAGACAUAGAACCACAGCAGGAGGACAGUGUCCCCCACGCCAUGGAACUACAGAGGAUGCACAGGUGUGAGUGGAUAUGUAAACAGAGCGUGCACAUGCCCCCAUUUGAGGGCCAGCAACAACUCGUGUUAACAGUUCAGUAAUGAUCCUUCCGCAGGUUCACCUACGGAAA